Brassica rapa (field mustard) is the source of this 119-nucleotide ribosomal RNA. NCBI's taxonomy places the organism in Eukaryota, Viridiplantae, Streptophyta, Magnoliopsida, Brassicales, Brassicaceae. The record is from RefSeq and is a predicted model, not a curated record.
AGGUGCGAUCAUACCAGCAGUAGUGCACUGGAUCCCAUCAGAACCCUGCAGCUAAGAAUGGUUGGGCGAGAGUAGUACUAGGAUGGGUGACCUCCCGGGAAGUCCUCGUGUUGCACCUC